Molecule: long non-coding RNA, 486 nt
Organism: Thunnus maccoyii (southern bluefin tuna)
Lineage: Eukaryota; Metazoa; Chordata; Actinopteri; Scombriformes; Scombridae
Exons: 3
Source: RefSeq, a predicted model, not a curated record
UAACUUUACUCUUUCUGCUAACGUUACCCAUUUUAAAGUCUGUGUUUAUUCUACUAGCAACUUUUGUGAGCUUACUGGGCAAUGCUAACUAGCUUCUGUUAGUAUGCUAACAUUUGUGUCUGCAUUGUUAGCUUAACGUUACUUAAGCCCCUUUUAUACAGCCUGUUCAAGGUGUGAAUGUUGCGGCGUUAUUCUGGGCCUAAAAUGAUAUAAUGUUAACGUUAUAACAGUUAUUCUGGAAAGAACUGCCAUGGAGGAGGAUCUUCAAAACUUUCUACAGUCGAGGGAAGUCCUAGAAGAAGACAUAAACCAAAUGAAAGGAACAAGCUUUAUUCAGACAUGACAGGACAUUGACCAAAAGACAGCGAGGGACUAUACAGAAAUAGAGAGAAAGAGUGCUUCUUUGCCAGGGCAUCGUCUCGUCCCUUGGCUCCCACCUGCUGCAGUGCACAGUUAGAGAAGUAGCGUCCGCUGAGAGGCUCAAUG